This 249-nucleotide long non-coding RNA is filed under the name Elaeis guineensis (African oil palm). RNAcentral's name for it is "long non-coding RNA (EGUI_LNC055565)". The record is from RNAcentral. Lineage: Eukaryota; Viridiplantae; Streptophyta; Magnoliopsida; Arecales; Arecaceae.
UGGUUUAAAAACUAUUCGAUAAAUCUUCUUUUAUUGAUUACUUUAUAGUUCUAAGAACUUCAUCACAACAUAAGAGUUCUAGUAAGAAAGAUGUAUAAUUUGUGAUGAAAAAUAUCAAAUAACUUUUAUUAAUUCAUAAUUAAUAUACAGUUUACAAAGAGUACAAUCGUCCAUACGAUUGACUUUAAAAUAUAUUUUCUAACACCUUAGAUGUAGGAUAGAAUCAGAGAUCAGAUAGGAAAGGGGAGA